Molecule: long non-coding RNA, 97 nt
Organism: Salarias fasciatus (jewelled blenny)
Lineage: Eukaryota; Metazoa; Chordata; Actinopteri; Blenniiformes; Blenniidae
Exons: 3
Source: RefSeq, a predicted model, not a curated record
AUGUACAUUAAGAGGGCAGGACUUUGGGUUGUGACAUUACGGGUUUAUGAGGAGACUUGAUGGUGCUAAAAUGAAUGUCAACCGUGUGUUUUAUGAG